Long non-coding RNA from Nomia melanderi (Alkali bee), 520 nucleotides. RefSeq lists it as uncharacterized. The record is from RefSeq and is a predicted model, not a curated record. NCBI's taxonomy places the organism in Eukaryota, Metazoa, Arthropoda, Insecta, Hymenoptera, Halictidae.
CCUACACGAACGUCGGCGAAGCUCAUUUCCACAACACGCGUGUUACGUCACGGUGCGUUCCAUCUCAUCUUGGAGCACUACUCAAUGUUACUGAUGUAUCAAUUGUUCGUUUUUUCUCGUGACUAACCAACAUGAUAUAUGACACAAUGCCUCGACGUGAGAUUAACUCAAUCGCCAAGGAAAUCAAUCUAAAGGAGGAAAUUAAUCUGAACGAGGUAUUCCACGAGUUCUGCCGCGAUUAAACCAUCACAUAACGCGGUGCUAUCUGGAGAUUGAGUAUCUAACACGCUUUAGAUUCUCCCAUCGUUGCCAAUAAAGAAUAUCAAUGAUGCGCAUAUGAACAAGAACACGAAUAGUUACACCAUGUCCAUGAUUACCACAGAGAUUUACCCGUUAACAUUUUUCAAUAUUCACCGAAACAAGUUCAUCGAUGAAAAUUCGCAAACGUUAUAUACCUUGUACAUAAAAAAAAGAAAAGAUAUAUUUUAUCAGUGUAAUAAUUGCCGUGUGACUAUAUGCA